UAACGGCUGGAAACGGUCGCUAAUACCGAAUACGCUCCCGAUUUUAUCAUUGGGGGGAAAGAUGGCCUCUGCUUGCAAGCUAUCGCUUAAGGAUGAGUCCGCGUCCCAUUAGCUAGUUGGCGGGGUAACGGCCCACCAAGGCAACGAUGGGUAGCCGGUCUGAGAGGAUGACCGGCCACACUGGAACUGGAACACGGUCCAGACUCCUACGGGAGGCAGCAGUGGGGAAUAUUGCGCAAUGGGCGAAAGCCUGACGCAGCGACGCCGCGUGAGGGAUGAAGGUUCUCGGAUCGUAAACCUCUGUCAGGGGGGAAGAAACCCCCUCGUGUGAAUAAUGCGAGGGCUUGACGGUACCCCCAAAGGAAGCACCGGCUAACUCCGUGCCAGCAGCCGCGGUAAUACGGAGGGUGCAAGCGUUAAUCGGAAUCACUGGGCGUAAAGCGCACGUAGGCGGCUUGGUAAGUCAGGGGUGAAAUCCCACAGCCCAACUGUGGAACUGCCUUUGAUACUGCCAGGCUUGAGUACCGGAGAGGGUGGCGGAAUUCCAGGUGUAGGAGUGAAAUCCGUAGAUAUCUGGAGGAACACCGGUGGCGAAGGCGGCCACCUGGACGGUAACUGACGCUGAGGUGCGAAAGCGUGGGUAGCAAACAGGAUUAGAUACCCUGGUAGUCCACGCUGUAAACGAUGGGUGCUGGGU
This 697-nucleotide ribosomal RNA is filed under the name uncultured bacterium. RNAcentral describes it as "bacterial SSU rRNA". It matches the Rfam family "Bacterial small subunit ribosomal RNA", at positions 144 to 821 of the family's 1533-position model. The record is from RNAcentral.